AGCGUUCUGUAAGCCUGUGAAGGUGGCCUGUGAGGGUUGCUGGAGGUAUCAGAAGUGCGAAUGCUGACAUAAGUAACGAUAAAGCGGGUGAAAAGCCCGCUCGCCGGAAGACCAAGGGUUCCUGUCCAACGUUAAUCGGGGCAGGGUGAGUCGACCCCUAAGGCGAGGCCGAAAGGCGUAGUCGAUGGGAAACAGGUUAAUAUUCCUGUACUUGGUGUUACUGCGAAGGGGGGACGGAGAAGGCUAUGUUGGCCGGGCGACGGUUGUCCCGGUUUAAGCGUGUAGGCUGGUUUUCCAGGCAAAUCCGGAAAACCAAGGCUGAGGCGUGAUGAC
This 333-nucleotide ribosomal RNA is filed under the name Escherichia coli. RNAcentral describes it as "partial 23S ribosomal RNA". It matches the Rfam family "Bacterial large subunit ribosomal RNA", at positions 1235 to 1570 of the family's 2925-position model. The record is from RNAcentral. Lineage: Bacteria; Pseudomonadati; Pseudomonadota; Gammaproteobacteria; Enterobacterales; Enterobacteriaceae.